Molecule: RNA transcript, 4562 nt
Organism: Prionailurus viverrinus (fishing cat)
Lineage: Eukaryota; Metazoa; Chordata; Mammalia; Carnivora; Felidae
Gene: ZNF280C
Gene name: zinc finger protein 280C
Exons: 22
Source: RefSeq, a predicted model, not a curated record
GGCCGGGCCGCCGCCGCUGCCUCCUCACCACCCAGGGCCUGUGCGUCUGUCAGCGCUCAGCCUGGUUUUCGCUUUUCUUUCUGGUGGCAACUCCCUUUGGUCUUUUGUAUAUUUGAUACAAAUGUUUGGCGAAACCACAGAAGGUUCCGAACUUUCUGGCUUCAGGGCCCCUCGGGCUCCUCCUUUCAGCCCUUAUUCCCCCCAUCCAGGUUACCGUUCAUUCAGUGCUGAUACCCUUGUUCUUGCCAAAGGAACUGUGCUCCUCGUCAUAGAAAUCGUGCUCCAUUCAGUUAUUGUCUAGAAGAGCCCUAAGGAGAAACGUGGAGUUAGGGCAGAAAACUAAGACCUAACUUGCUAUCUUGUCUGGAGUCAUAUGGUGACUCUGCAACUUGAUGGAUGACGACAACCCUUUUCCAUCAAAAAAUAAUUCAAAAAUGGCAGAACUCUUUAUGGAAUGUGAAGAAGAAGAGCUAGAACCAUGGCAGAAGAAAGUAGAAGAAAUUCUGGAUGAAGACGAUGAUGAGCUGAUCUUUGUUGGAGAGAUAUCAAGUUCAAAACCAGCCAUUUCAAAUAUUUUGAACAGAGGUAACCCCGGCUCAUCUUCAAAGGGAAUAAAGAAUGAGACACUCACUCAAGGUGUUACUGAUACAUUCAAGCCUACAAGUCAACACUACAAAGAUCCAACAUCAAAUCCGGUGGCUGCCUUGCCUAGAUUUCAUCCUGAAUCUAAAUCUUCACAAAGCCCUGUUAUUGUUCAGAACGUGUCUAAACCUGAUUUUACAAAGAAUUUAUCACAAGUUGAAUCGGAUGAUUCUUCAGAUUUACUGUUUGACUUGACCCAGGAUACAAUUCCACUGUCCCAGGAGGGAUCAACAAUUUAUAUAGAAGGUAUAGAUGAAACUCUGCCUAUAAUAAAACGUUCUUCUACUUCUAAAGUAAACAGUGUUAAUCCAAAAAAGCCAAAGACCAGUGAAAGUGGUUCUGACAUAAGUCCUUGUGCUUCGUUGUCCUUAACUAACUCUCCUUCAGUGGCAUCUUCCCAUGUUAUGAUAUCAAAAGGUACAAAUACCUCAUCACCUCACUAUAAAACUGGAGCGCCUUUUCUAAGAUCUUGUCCGAGGUGCAAUGUAAAGUUUAAUCUUUUGGAUCCCUUGAAAUAUCACAUGAAGCGUUGUUGUCCAGACAUGGUAAAUAAAUUCUUGGAAAUGAUUAAAGCAGAACUUAUAAAUACUGAAAAUAAAAAUAAGACUGGUGCAGAAAAAGGAAAAUUAAUUAUGUUAGUUAGUGACUUUUACUAUGGAAGACACGAGGGAGCUGUUGAUGAUGAACAGAAGACUUACACAACUUUUAAAUGCUUCAGUUGCUUGAAAGUUCUUAAAAAUAAUAUUAGGUUUAUGAACCACAUGAAACACCAUCUGGAACUUGAGAAGCAGAACAGCGAGAGCUGGGAAAACCAUACUACCUGCCAGCACUGCUACCGUCAGUAUCCCACACCGUUCCAGUUGCAGUGUCACAUCGAGAGCACACACACUCCGCAUGAGUUUUCUACUAUUUGCAAAAUCUGUGAAUUAUCAUUUGAAACCGAACAUGCUCUUUUGCAACAUAUGAAGGACACUCAUAAACCCGGUGAAAUGCCAUAUAUUUGCCAGGUUUGCCAGUUUAGAUCUUCAACAUUUUCUGAUGUAGAGAAUCAUUUUAGAGCAUCCCAUGAAAACACUAAGAACUUGCUGUGUCCAUUUUGCCUCAAAGUUAGUAAAAUGGCAACUCCCUACAUGAAUCAUUACAUGAAGCAUCAGAAAAAAGGAGUUCAUCGUUGUACCAAGUGCAGACUACAAUUUUUGACCUGCAAAGAGAAACUGGAUCACAAGACCCAGCAUCGGACAUUUAUAAAGCCUAAAGAGCUAGAAGGAUUGCCUCCUGGUACAAAAGUUACUAUUCGAGCCUCAGUUGGACCUCUUCAUUCAAAACCAGUAACUACAUCUCCCAGUAGCAGUGUUCCAAGCACUUCUUCUUUUCAAAUCUCACCUCCAAGGUCUAAAAGUACAACUGCUAAAAAUAUAAAAUCUACUACAAGUAAAUCUAAGACAAAUAGGCCUCAUGCAGCUGUAUCCAGUGCAAGUAAACCUCAUGCCAAAAGGCAAGGUAGAGUUGCAUCUAAAUAUAAGACCAAAAAAACCUCUUGUAAACAAAAGAAACAACGCAACAGAAAGAAUAAAAUCAGCAUAGCUUUGAAGAACUUAAGGUGCCGUCGGGGAAUUCACAAGUGCAUUGAGUGUCAUUCCAAAAUAAAAGAUUUUGCAAGCCACUUUUCAAUAUAUAUCCACUGUAAUUUUUGCAAAUACAACACUAACUGUAACAAAGCCUUUAUAAAUCAUAUGGUGAGCUCUCAUAGCAACCAUCCAAGUAAACGGUUUUAUAUUUUUAAGAAGCAUUCCGGAAUUCUCAGGGGCAUUACUCUAGUGUGCCUUAAAUGUGACUUCCUAACUGAUUCUUCUGGCUUAGAUCGUAUGGCUAAACACCUAAGUCAGCGUAAAACUCAUACUUGCCAAGUUGUAAUAGAGAAUGUUCCUGAAAGUACCUCAACUUCUGAACCCUCGUCUGAGUUCUGGAAAAACAGACUGAAAUCUCUUCCCUGGUGGAGCUUAUAUUUCAGUGGCGGAAGACAAGACAAUAAAAAAUAAGAAAUUUAUAUAGUAUGUUAGAUGAUGAUCAAUGCAACGGAGCAAAAUAAAGUGGGCAAGGAGGAUGUUUCAGGUGUCUAAGUGCCGAGACUGGGACCAGGAUUAGCUCCUUCAGAUGGGCUUCCAACCCAGGAAAUGGGGAAGACUCAAGGGUGUAGCUCUGAAAAGUGAAGACGAUCUGUAGAGGAGACAUACUGGCUAUCAUGGAUCAUUCCAGAGACAUAGUGAGACUGCAUGAGAGGCCUGGAAGCACCUCACUUCACUUGAUUCUCCCUGCUCCUCACCACCCUCAACAGCAACAAGGAUGUCAUGAUUCUCUGGCCUCCUUAGUCCCCUUCCUCUGGUGGCAUUCUGGGAUCAGCCCAUUCCCAAAUCCUUUUGCUCCUUCUGAUGGAGGCUUGAGUGCCAUUGUGCCACCCUGCUGAUGCCAGCAGCAAGCUCUAGGGCUAGGAGACUGGGUGGAGCCUGGAGGUUCUCAGGAUUCCCAGGGUCACAGUGGGAAGCCCCAGGACUUCUUGGCUGUUCCCAGGCACCUGAGGGAGAACAAUGUCAUUACUGCAGGAAAGGACAGGAUCACGCAGGUGAGGCUCAGAGGACAGAGGCAGGUAGGAUUGGUGAGCACCUUCUAUUCAGAGCAAAAUUACCAGAGCCUUGGCAGGACCAAAAGAUGAUAGUCUUGGGGAAGUUCAGAGUCUGAUUUUUAAGGUGGGGGGCAGCCAGUAUGGAAAUGACAGUCCUAAGGCCCACAUUCAGGAGUCAUCCAGGAAAGGUGUCUAUUCCUCUCAGAAGAGCUAAGGAAAGUAGAGGCUUUUUGCUCUUGCUGGUCACCAAGCCUGCUGAAUCUUACCAAAGGCUAUUGAGUCUAGGUAAUGAUAAAACCUUCCACUCGCUUCCCACUGCACUUAAAUAAAACUCCAACCCAACAGACCUGGCCUCACCUACUUCUCAACCUCAUCGCCCACAUGCUCUCCCUUGCUCCCACUAGCCUCCUUUCUGUUUCUCAAGCACACCAACCUCACUUCUGCCUCAGGGCCUUGGCAUUUGCUGUUUCUUCAGCCUGGGGUUCUCGUUCUGACCUCAUACCUGGUUGCUCCUCUCCAUUCAGGUCUCAGCUCAAAUGUUACCUCUUCAAAGAUACCUGUUGUGAUCACUGUAUCUAAUAUGUUGCCCUUCCCCCACCUCCCUCACUUUCCAUCCAUUUACCCUGUUUUAUGACCCUGAGAGUCCUUAUUGCUCUCAAAUUCUCUCAUUAUGUAUCUCACUUCUUGUAUUAGUGUCUAUCUCCUUUGUGAAAGCAGGAUUUAAAUUGUUCGCCUGCAUUAUCCCCAGGGCUUAGCACAGUGGCUCAUAGUAGAUGGUCAGUAAAUAUUUGUUGAAUGACUGAAAGGUGUCAGAGGCAAUUCCGGUCUAGAAGAGGCAAUCCUGAUUAGAGGACUCAGAAUGUUGUUAUCUUGACCCUGUUACGGCAGAGAAGGACCCUGAACAAGACAAGCCAAGACCCAGACUGAAAUGUAACCAUCAGAAUGGAUAAGUGUACCUGCAGCGACUGAGAGAUGGCCCAGCCCUGCAGCCAAGUCAAGAGCCAAAAGACACCACACAACAGCAGGUCGUGUCCUGGGUAAGGACUCAGCAUCUGAAGUCUGAGACAAGGCCCAAGGCCCAAGUCAGUUGGGGAGAAGUAUAGCAACAGGGGGUUCAGCAAGCAGUUCACCAACAGACAACAGGCUCCUAGCCCCUUGGGUGAGAUUCAGGGGCAGGGUGUUGGGUGGGGACAACUAGUAAAAAAAAAACCAAAACCUAGCCCUAACUGGGGUACUAGGCAGGCUUCAAAGACGGAUCAAGGCAGAAGCCAAGUAAUGAAAACCAAACCGGUGACUGGGA